GCCGGGCGUGGUGGCGCGUGCCUGUAUAGUCCCAGCUACUCAGGAGGCUGAGGUGGGAGGAUUGCUUGAGCCCGGGAAUUCUGGGCUGUAGUGCGCCAUGCUGAUCGUUUGUCCACACUAAGUUCGGCAUCAAUAUGGUGAGCUCCUGGGAGCGGGGGAUCACCAGGUUUCCUAAGGAGGGGUGAACCGGCCCAGGUGGGAAACGGAGCAGGUCAAAACUGCUGUGCUGAUUAGUAGUGGGCUUGCGCCUGUGAAUAGCCACUGCACUCCAGCCUGGGUAACAUAGUGUCUCU
Molecule: signal recognition particle RNA, 293 nt
Filed under: Saimiri boliviensis boliviensis (Bolivian squirrel monkey)
Lineage: Eukaryota; Metazoa; Chordata; Mammalia; Primates; Cebidae
Description: Metazoan signal recognition particle RNA (ENSSBOG00000000195.1)
Rfam family: Metazoan signal recognition particle RNA
About the family: The signal recognition particle (SRP) is a universally conserved ribonucleoprotein. It is involved in the co-translational targeting of proteins to membranes.
Source: RNAcentral